CCGUGGUAAUUCUAGAGCUAAUACAUGCUAAAAAUCCCGACUUCGGAAGGGAUGUAUUUAUUAGAUUAAAAACCAAUGCCCUUCGGGGCUCACUGGUGAUUCAUGAUAACUCCUCGAAUCGCAUGGCCUUGUGCCGGCGAUGGUUCAUUCAAAUUUCUUCCCUAUCAACUUUCGAUGUUUGGGUAUUGGCCAAACAUGGUUGCAACGGGUAACGGAGGGUUAGGGCUCGACCCCGGAGAAGGAGCCUGAGAAACGGCUACUACAUCCAAGGAAGGCAGCAGGCGCGCAAAUUACCCAAUCCCGACACGGGGAGGUAGUGACAAUAAAUACUGAUACAGGGCUCUUUUGGGUCUUGUAAUUGGAAUGAGUACAAUUUAAAUCCCUUAACGAGGAACAAUUGGAGGGCAAGUCUGGUGCCAGCAGCCGCGGUAAUUCCAGCUCCAAUAGCGUAUAUUAAAGUUGUUGUGGUUAAAAAGCUCGUAGUUGAACCUUGGGCCUGGCUGGCCGGUCCGCCUCACCGCGUGUACUGGUCCGGCCGGGCCUUUCCCUCUGUGGAACCCCAUGCCCUUCUCUGGGUGUGGCGGGGAAACAGGACUUUUACUGUGAAAAAAUUAGAGUGCUCCAGGCAGGCCUAUGCUCGAAUACAUUAGCAUGGAAUAAUAGAAUAGGACGUGUGGUUCUAUUUUGUUGGUUUCUAGGACCGCCGUAAUGAUUAAUAGGGACAGUCGGGGGCAUCAGUAUUCAAUUGUCAGAGGUGAAAUUCUUGGAUUUAUUGAAGACUAACUACUGCGAAAGCAUUUGCCAAGGAUGUUUUCAUUAAUCAGGAACGAAAGUUAGGGGAUCGAAGACGAUCAGAUACCGUCGUAGUCUUAACCAUAAACUAUGCCGACUAGGGAUCGGACGG
RNAcentral lists this ribosomal RNA (904 nucleotides) under Fusarium sp. RNAcentral describes it as "SSU rRNA". It matches the Rfam family "Eukaryotic small subunit ribosomal RNA", at positions 147 to 1060 of the family's 1831-position model. The record is from RNAcentral. Lineage: Eukaryota; Fungi; Ascomycota; Sordariomycetes; Hypocreales; Nectriaceae.